AGCGGGAAUAGCUCAGUGGUAGAGCACAACCUUGCCAAGGUUGGGGUCGCGAGUUCGAGCCUCGUUUCCCGCUCC
RNAcentral lists this transfer RNA (75 nucleotides) under methanotrophic bacterial endosymbiont of Bathymodiolus sp. RNAcentral's name for it is "tRNA-Gly". It matches the Rfam family "tRNA". Rfam says of the family: Transfer RNA (tRNA) molecules are approximately 80 nucleotides in length. Their secondary structure includes four short double-helical elements and three loops (D, anti-codon, and T loops). Further hydrogen bonds mediate the characteristic L-shaped molecular structure. tRNAs have two regions of fundamental functional importance: the anti-codon, which is responsible for specific mRNA codon recognition, and the 3' end, to which the tRNAs corresponding amino acid is attached (by aminoacyl-tRNA synthetases). tRNAs cope with the degeneracy of the genetic code in two manners: having more than one tRNA (with a specific anti-codon) for a particular amino acid; and 'wobble' base-pairing, i.e. permitting non-standard base-pairing at the 3rd anti-codon position. The record is from RNAcentral. Lineage: Bacteria; Pseudomonadati; Pseudomonadota; Gammaproteobacteria.